This 11404-nucleotide long non-coding RNA is filed under the name Fragaria vesca (wild strawberry). RNAcentral describes it as "long non-coding RNA (FVES_LNC001136)". Lineage: Eukaryota; Viridiplantae; Streptophyta; Magnoliopsida; Rosales; Rosaceae. The record is from RNAcentral.
UCUGCCCUAACACUUCACUGAUGACCUCAAACACUUCUGUCACUCCCUUCUUCACCAAGAAAUUCAAAUCCCAAAAACCUUCAUUGGUCAUAAGACCUAAGCAAGGCAUUGUAUGCAAGGCAACCAACAACAAUGACCAAAAUAAAGAUGCUGUGGGAAAAUUGGACAGGAGAAACAUGCUCAUUGGCUUGGGUGCUGGCGGUCUAUACGGCACGGCGGGUCUCGAAACCAAUCCGUUUGCAUUCGCCGCGCCCGUGCCACCACCCGACCUAGCCACAUGCGGUCCGGCGGACAAACCUGACGGUACAACCAUCGAUUGUUGCCCGCCAAAAACCACCACAAUCAUCGACUUUAAGCUACCUGAUCCGGGUCCUAUGCGCACUAGGCUAGCUGCCCAGAACGUCGCAAAAGACCCAGUAUACUUGGCAAAAUACAAGAAGGCCAUUGAGCUCAUGCGGGCCUUACCAGACGACGACCCGCGAAGCCUGGCCCAGCAGGCCAUGGUUCACUGUUCGUACUGCGACGGUGGUUAUCCCAUGGCCGGGUUUUCCGACCUCGAAAUCCAAGUUCACUUCUGCUGGCUCUUCUACCCUUGGCACCGUUUGUACCUCUACUUCUACGAGAAGAUCAUGUGCAAGCUCAUCGACGAUCCCACUUUCGCUCUUCCCUUCUGGAACUGGGACGCUCCGGCCGGCAUGUACAUCCCCUCCAUUUUCACCGACACCACCUCCUCUCUCUACGACCAAUACCGGAACGCAGCGCAUCAACCUCCGAAGCUUCUAGACCUCAACUACGGUGGCACCGAUGACGACACGGAUGACAAGACUAGAAUCAGAGAGAACCUCACCACCAUGUACCAACAAAUGAUCUCAAAAGCCACAUCUCACCGCCUCUUCUUCGGUGAGCCCUACAGCGCCGGAGACGAACCGAACCCCGGCGCCGGAAACAUCGAGAGUAUUCCGCAUAAUAACAUCCAUCUCUGGACCGGAGAUCCAACUCAGACUAACGGAGAGGACAUGGGAGCUUUCUACUCAGCAGGGAGGGAUCCUAUCUUUUACUCUCACCAUGCCAACGUAGACCGCAUGUGGUCUAUCUACAAGGCACGAGGUGGGACUGAUAUAACCAAAAAGGAUUGGCUUGACACCGAGUUCUUGUUCUACGAUGAGAACAAGAAUCUGGUCCGAGUUAAAGUACGUGACUCGCUAGACGAGUCGAAACUAGGGUACAAGUACCAGGACGUGGAGAUUCCGUGGCUGAACUCGAAGCCUACGGCAAGGAAAUCGAAGAAUAAAAGAAAGGCGGCGGUUUCCUCAGCGGACUUGACUUCGAAGUUUCCGGCGACGUUGAGUGAGACUAUUAGUGUUGAGGUGGCGCGGCCGUCGGCGGCUAAGAGGACAACGGCGGAGAAGACGAAGGAGGAGGAGGUGUUGGUGAUCAGUGGUAUCGAGUUCGCCGGAAGCGAGAUGUUGAAGUUUGAUGUGUACGUGAAUGAUGAUGCGGAUGAGGUGAGCGGGAAGGACAAGGCGGAGUUUGCCGGGAGUUUUGUGCAUGUGCCGCAUAGGGCGAACAAGAAGAUCAAGACAAACUUGAGGUUGGGGAUUACGAAUCUACUGACGGAUUUGGGGGCGGAGGAGGAUAAUAGCGUGGUGGUGACAUUGGUGCCCAAGUUUGGAAAAGGAGCUAUCAUAGGUGGGUUCAAGAUCGAGCUUAUUUCUACCACCUGAUCAAUAUUCUCCUUGGUACGUACGUUGAUCCUGCAUGCAUAGUUGUAUUCGUGACUACUACUUCUGCCAUUCUACUGGGUACUGAAUUUAUUGGUUUCUUGUUUUUCUACCUGUAAGAUAAUUUGUAGAGAUCAACGUGGGCCAAACUAUAUAUCAUUGGUAUUUCAACAACACUUCAGCUUCUUUCCAAGCCCAUAUGACUACUAGCUAGUAGUAGCAUCAAUUUUUAUAGUUUCAAUUAUAUUUCUUAUCUUCUAGACAAUUUUGCGUAAAAUUUGCCAAGAAAAAACGACAAUAAUGAAUAAUGUGUAGAAGAGGUACACUAGAAGUUCUAGGAACUUGUCGAAUAAAAGUUAAACUCAACAACUCUUUUGACUUGAGCAUCGAUGAAAGAUUUUUUUUAACCACGUGGAUCUAGUCUGUGAUCUUAUUUCUGCGUUGGUUUCACAUCAAACUUAUGUUUAACAGGAAUAUGUUGACGUGAGGACUAAUUCAUGUUGAUGUUGUGAAUAAAAAUUAAGAAGUAAAAUAUAAAAAAAGGACAUCAAUUAGGUCAAGAGCCUAAGUUUCUAUGACUACCAAUUUCAAUUAGCGUGCCCUACAUAAAUAUAUUUGGACCAAUACCAAUUAGUAUGAUGCGUAGAAGCUUGUCCAGGUGAAACAAGGUCAUUGAUCAUGUCCAUUCUUCCUGCGUAAGAUAAGAUUCUGCGAAAAUUCUUCUACACACCAGAGUUCAAGUGAACCGAACAACUAAUAUGUAAUAUUUUGAUUUGGUCAUCCACGUCGUAUUAUCAUGCAUGUAUUCUAAUACCGUUAACAAAAUUGAAACAAAAAAAAUAGUCAUAAGUGUUUCCAACACAGGAGGUAAGGACCUGAUCGAGAUCGAAUAAGAGGUACUCUUAUUAUGAACACUUAAUUUGAUCGGAUCAAAAAUGAAGAUGAAAUGAAAGAACUUAGGGUAUAUAGUCUUCAUUGGAUCUUCGCAUACGGCGAUUUGAGGAUUUGCACAUUAAUGGUACAAGUGCACUUUGAUGCGUACGAUCCGCUCCGAAUAUUCUGCGACCAUUCACUUAGAUUGCUCCUAGGUUUUGUUACAAACUUUUCUUUGAUUACCCUAGCUAGUUUCUAAUUUAGACAACCACGUAUGGCUUAAAAGUAAACUUAAUUAGCUGGAUUGAUAUAUAUGCUUUGUUUCUUUGACUAGAUCGAUUACUUAACGUGAUCUACUUUCAUCAUUUUCAUCAUUCUUGACUAACAUAAUAUUUGGCUGAAAGGGGAAUGAACCAGGAGGUGGAGGGGAAUUGGGUGGGGAGAAAUCCAAAAACUAGCAAACAAAUUAAAUCACAUGGACUCCACAUUUGUCUUAAUCGCUCCUUAAUUAAACAAAAUUAUCCCCUUUCUGGAUUCAGACCUUCUCACCUAGCCUUCUGUAUCAUAUUGAAGUUAAUUACAAUACAGUAAUCAUCCAUAUCUAUGUAGUAAUUAUGUGAUAAACUUACCUCAACUUAUUGAUGCCCUUUCUUUUUGGUUCAAUCCCAGAGUUAAGUAUUAAUCUUUCCCUUCUAAAAAAAAAUAAUGAUAUUUCCCACUCCAUUAUUAUUAUAAUCAAUAUCAAUACGAUCGCAAAAAUUACGAAAAUAGAGUCAUCACGAUAAGAAUAUGGAUAUUGUGUGUUUCAAACAUAAUUAAAUAUGAGUUUAUUAAUAUGGCACCGGCCAAUUGUCAUAUUUUAAAGGGUUUUAGAGGUGGCCAUGUUCUGUGUGGAUGAAAUGAUGUACGAAUGCGUAAUAUAUUGCAGUAGUCUUCAUGAUCGUUUACAAUUUUUCAACAUGUUGUGCAAAAAUCAUUUUCCUUCUGGCAGGCAUUAGUUUUCUACACGUUGUGCAUAAUUGUUUGGUAACACUAAUUAAACCUCAGUACUAAGACAAUUAAAACAAAAAUACAACAUAAUUUAAUUAGAAGAAACCUUUUGAAAUAGUGUAUGUUUAGCUCAUAUACAAAAAUAUGAUGUAGAACGACGUGCAAAAAAGUUCGAGGUGUUACGACAUUGUUUUUCGAAAUGUUCCUCAAACUCUUGCGGAAGUCCUUCUACAUCAAAAUAGGAUUACUCUUAUUAUUAGACCUUUAUGAACUAUAUAUAGUCUUGAUAUCACCGGCCGACUAUGGUUUAAAAUGGACUAGCUUAGUAUAUUCUGAUCAAUUUUUGGUAUAUUCUAAUCAAAGACUACUUUCUCUCCGAUCUUAUCCUAAAAAAUAAGCACCUCCAUCGGAUUAAGACGCUAAUUAACGUUAACAUUAAUUAUGUAGCAGACAGAAGAUUCGUCGUAAACUCCUAUUAUAUUAUCCCACGUGGUGCAAGCCUUGGUCGUAAUUUUAUAUCAUACUUUGUCAACUAGAUCCGGCUGCCAAAUUUCAUCGAGCCAACUUUGCAUGGAUAUUGAAGAAAAGUAUGACCAAGGUUUCAUUAUAAAACCAAAGCCUCCUCUGAGCUUUCCAUUGUACCAGAGGCCAUGGCUUCUCUCUCACCUCAACUAGUCACCACGACUACCGUUCCAUCUUCUACAACUUCCCUCUCAGCUUUCUCACAUAGCUCUCAGGUUUCCUUAAUCGGAAAACCUAGGCAGUUCAUCCGUACUAGGGUUUCAUGCAAAGCCACAAACAGCGACCAAAAUGAUGCACAACCUCCUGUACCUAAGUUCGAUAGGAGAAAUGUGCUUCUUGGUCUUGGAGGCCUAUACGGGGUUGUAGGUCUUGGAAGCGAUCCUUUCGCUUUUGCCAAGCCCGUCGCCCCACCCGACGUGUCUAAAUGCGGGGCGGCGGACUUGCCUAACGGCGUGGCACCAACAGAUUGUUGCCCGCCAACGCCCUCAAAGAUCAUCGACUUCAAGCUGCCCUCGCCAACCCCAUUGCGUGUUAGGCCUGCGGCACACGCCGUGGAUGAUGCUUACAUUGCAAAGUACACCAAGGCCAUGGAGCUCAUGAAGGCCCUUCCCGACGAUGAUCCCCGUAGUUUCAAGAACCAAGCCAAUGUGCAUUGUGCUUACUGUGAUGGUGCUUAUGACCAAGCAGGGUUUCCGGAUCUUGAGCUCCAAAUCCAUAACUCAUGGCUCUUCUUUCCCUUCCAUAGAUACUACUUGUACUUCUACGAGAGAAUCUUGGGUAAGCUCAUCAACGACCCAACAUUUGCUUUGCCGUUCUGGAACUGGGACAACCCGGCUGGCAUGCAGUUACCUGCCUUGUUCGCCAAUCCUAAAUCACCGCUUUACGACCAGUUCAGAGCCGCCGCUCACCAGCCGCCGACCCUGAUCGACCUCGAUUUCAACGGAACGGAGGACAAUACAUCAAACACAACACAAAUCAACAGCAACCUCAGCAUUAUGUACCGUCAAAUGGUGUCUAACGCCAAGAAUGCUCAGCUCUUCUUCGGCAACCCCUACCGGGCUGGGGACGAGCCUGACCCCGGUGGUGGCUCCAUCGAGGGAACUCCACACGGACCCGUUCACUUGUGGACCGGUGACAACACACAGCCUAACUUUGAGGACAUGGGAAACUUCUACUCCGCCGGAAGAGAUCCUAUUUUCUUCUCGCACCACUCCAAUGUUGAUAGGAUGUGGAGUAUUUGGAAGACCCUAGCUCCCAAAAACAAAGACAUCACCGACUCCGAUUGGUUAGACUCCGGCUUCCUGUUCUACGACGAGAAUGCAAACAUGGUGCGUGUGAAGGUACGCGACUGCCUUGAAUCCAAAAAUCUCGGCUAUGUGUAUCAAGACGUGGAUAUUCCAUGGCUGAACUCCAAGCCAACGCCGAGAAGGUCAAAGGUGGCAUUCAGUAAUAUAGCCAAGAAGCUCGGUGUGGCUAACGCCGCCGGUUCUAAAGCAAAGGUGGUGAAGAUUACUGAUUUUCCUUUGACUUUGAGCCGAAAGAUUAGCGUGGCGGUGCCGAGGCCCAAGCAGAAGAAGAGGAGCAAGAAGGAGAAGGAAGACGAGGAGGAAAUACUUGUGAUCGAAGGGAUUGAGUUCGACAGAGAUGUGGCAGUGAAGUUUGAUGUGUACAUUAACGACGAGGAUGACCUGCCGAGUGGGCCGGACAAGAGUGAGUUCGCCGGAAGCUUUGUGAGUGUGCCGCACAGGCAUAAGCACACAAAGAAGAUCAACACUGUAUUGAGGUUAGGGUUGACAGAUUUGCUGGAGGAUUUGGACGCCGAGGAUGAUGAGACGGUGGUGGUGACUUUGAUUCCAAGGUAUGCGGCGGACAAAGUCAAGAUUGGUGGCAUCAAGAUUGAGUUUGCUUCUUAAAUUAUUGAACCCCCAUAGUCAGGAAGCCAUAUCCUUGUUGGUUUAGAUCUAUAGCUAGCUAUUGAUCACCUACACGUUACAUUCUUCAAUUUCGUUUUGUUCUUUUCUUCUUCUUUUGUAUUUCUUCAAUAAUCAAAUUUUCCUGUACAAAAUAAACUUGAUGCGGAAUGCAUUUUCCGUCAUUUCCACCACUACCGCGUGUGCCCAAUUGUAGUCGAGCUCAUUUCACCAGAAUAAGGUUCUGUCGCUAACCAAUACGACAAUAACAAUAUAUGGAAUGCGACCUUUGAAGGUUGCAUGGACCUUAACCCUAAAUUCCGUCAUCAUGUCGAUUCGUAGCACGAUAUAUUGCCAAUAAGAAUACGCUAUAUUUUGUUGCUUGCUUGCUUAGAAAGGCAGAGACCAAAUCAAAUUCAUGUAUACACAUCUAUAAGACUAUAACCUUCUCUGUUUUUCCUUUGAACAAAAUGAUAAUGGUUUCCAUCAAGUUGUUGUUUAGAAAACAUGCCACGACUUCGUGACAGCCUCGACGCUCCUGACCGGUCUACAAAACUAUAUAUUAUACGCGUAAAUGAAUAUUCCAACUGGUUCUAGGUGCGUGUUUUCAGAUCUACAACUAAAUUCGAAGUUCGAACUCAAAUUUCCUUAUGCUGGAGGUAGGUACGUAGUUGAUAUAGACUAUAAACAAUUUGACUAAAAUUUUUAUUGGGGAAAGAACUAGCUAGGAAAGGGUGGUGGGGUGAGAACCCAAAAGCGUAAAGUCCUCGACAUGUUGUUAAUUACUUAAGUACUCUUUAAAUUAACCAAAUUAAGAACUUAAUCCAGCUAAUUCAGACUAGCUAUAUAUUCUCUUGCUUCUCCUAUAUUAUCACUACCAUCAUCAUGAAUCCAUCAUCACCACCAUCAUACAUGAAAGUUGUAUUAUAUAUCUAACCAAAUUAUCGAUUUGAACGAGUAAAUAUGAUAUUCAUUUUAGAACCCGCCUUCGAUGAUAAUGGCUGGUAACCUUAAGGUGACGACAGCCAAUGAACAUAGAACAACUGUCUAUUUUAAAAAGCUUGAUUGCAAUUUAAGGACAUCAGUCUUGAUCACCUGGUCAGUAAUUGACCAAAAGAUUUAUGAUCAGUCACCCUUGGAUGUAAAUCUAAUGACGGAGAAAAUUAUUUUUAAGUAGAGUUGUUUUGUUUUUAGCCUUUAGAUGUAAAUCCAACGGUGGUUAACUAUGAUUUUCUUGGUCAGUAACUGACCAGGUGAAUACUACUGUAAGGACAUAACAUGAGAGUUUUAGGUAUUUGACAUGUUUGUUUACAAUUAUUGUUAACACUUGUCAAUCUCUCAUUCGUGUUUGUCACUUAUAAAUGACUAUAACUUGUCACCCAAGUUAUUUCCUUUAUUUUAAGGCAACUCUCUGUAAUCUGUAUGUAUUCUUUCUCUGACGAUGUCAAGGCAUACCCACAUUUUCGAUCGAUUUUCUAAUACUGGAAAAUAAUAUAUGUACAACUUAUAUCAUCAUAUAUAACACUGAUACAAAUUAUUAAUUAACAUAUCUUUUACUUCUGGCAGCCAUUAUAUUACGUACCCAGUUGCAUAAUGGAUUUGGUAGAAAAGUUUUAAAACCUCUCCACUAACACUAUCAAUUUAAUUUAAAAAAAAAAACAUAUGAUUCUAAGAAGUAAAUUCAAUUGAUCAACCUAAUCUUUGUCACAUGGCUGGCUAGAGUCUCAACUACUCUUGAAAGAAAACAAUUUUGCGCUAUAUGGUGUAUACUCGCAGCAGAAGAGAAACGAAUUCCCACACUCAUUUCUACCUAGCUAGAUUGCAUAUCAAGCUUUCCCGUACAAAGACAAAUUUUUAACUAGGGUCACAUUUCAAUUAACAAAUUAACAAUCACAUAAGAUUGUUGAAGAAACAAGAGUAAUUUGUUAGGGGAAAAAAAUUGUGCUGAUCACAGUCCUAUUCUGUUAAAUGAAAAGACCAAGAAAUCAUGAAAGAGAACAAGAUGAUAUGACUGCUUAAUUGGCCGGGGUAGCUUUAAAUCUAGUAUAUUCCUCUAUAGAAGGAGAUUCCAAGUUCUGAUUUAUAUAUAGCACCUGAUUGAUUCUGAUUAAUUUAUCUUAAUUACUUCCUUCGUCAACCGAUCGAACAACAACUUGUCUGUUUCUAUACUGAUCUCAAUCAGAAGUACUGUACAACCAAAGAUUCAUUAUAAAAGCAAACCUCAUUCGAGCUUCAACAUCAUACCUAAACCUCAGAGGCCAUGGCUUCUCUGUCACAUUCACCAGUGAUCGCCACCACAAGCACCAUUCCCAGUACUACAACUUCUUUGUCUUCCUUCUCUCACAAGAAUUCCCAAAUUUCCUUAAUUCAGAAACCUAAGCAUUCCUACGCAUGGAGCAGAGUCUCAUGCAAAGCCACAAACAGUGACCAAAACCCUUCCAACAACUCCAACGAUGCACAACCUCUAGGCAGAACCCUAGACCGGAGAAAUGUACUUCUCGGUCUCGGAGGACUGUACGGAGUGGCCGGUCUCGGCACCGACCCUUUUGCCUUUGCCAAGCCUGUGGCUCCUCCUGACGUCUCCAAAUGUGGAGCCGCAGACUUGCCUACAGGUGCGCAAAAAACUGAUUGUUGCCCGCCGGUAGCCAAAAAGAUAUUCGAUUUCCAGCUCCCACCUCAGUCUAAACUCCGCGUCAGGCCAGCGGCUCACGCUGUUGACAAAGCCUACAUCGAGAAAUACUCCAAGGCCAUCGAGCUCAUGAAAGCUCUCCCUGAUGAUGAUCCACGCAGCUUCAAGCAACAAGCAAACAUUCACUGUGCUUAUUGUGACGGAGCUUACGACCAAGCUGGCUUUCCUGAUCUUGAGCUCCAAAUCCACGGCUCGUGGCUAUUCUUUCCCUUCCACCGAUACUACUUGUACUUCUAUGAGAGAAUCCUGGGCAAAUUGAUCAACGACCCGUCGUUCGCCUUGCCUUUCUGGAACUGGGAUGCUCCGGCUGGCAUGCAACUCCCAGGCAUGUUUGCCAAUCCUAAGUCGCCGCUCUACGACAAGUUCCGAAACGCCAACCAUCAGCCGCCGAAGCUCAUUGAUCUCAAUUACAAUCUCAAGGAUGCAAACGUCUCUGACGAAACUCAAAUCAACACCAACCUCAAGAUCAUGUACAGGCAAAUGGUGUCCAACGCCAAGAACCCUAAGCUGUUCUUUGGAAACCCUUAUAGGGCUGGGGACGAGCCUAGCCCCGGAGGCGGAGCAAUAGAGACUACUCCACAUGGACCGGUCCACAUUUGGACCGGUGACAACACACAGCCGAAUCUUGAGGACAUGGGAAACUUCUACUCUGCCGGUAGAGACCCUAUAUUUUUCUCUCAUCACUCUAACGUUGACCGUUUGUGGACUGUGUGGAAAACCCUAGGAGGCAAGAGAGAGGAUUUCACCGACUCUGAUUGGUUGGAUUCCGGGUUUUUGUUCUAUGACGAGAACGCAAAUAUGGUGCGGGUGAAGGUACGAGACUGCCUUGAUUCCAAGAAGCUAGGGUAUGUGUACCAAGACGUUGACAUCCCAUGGACAAGCCACAAGCCAACUCCACGUAGAGUCAAGGAUGUCAUCAAGAAAUUUGGUCACAAGCUCCACGGCCACGGUGUUGCUCACGCCGCGGAGACUUCUACCAAGGUGGUGGCGGGGGCUCAUUUUCCGAUAAGCUUGGCGUCAAAGAUUAGUAUUGCGGUGGCUAGGCCGCAGCAGAAGAAGAGGAGCCAGAAGGAGAAGGACCAUGAGGAGGAGGUACUGGUGAUUCAAGGGAUUGAGUUUGACAGGGACGUCGGGGUGAAGUUUGAUGUGUAUGUGAACGAUGAGGAUGACUUGCCUAGUGGACCGGAUAAGAGUGAGUUUGCCGGGAGCUUUGUGAGUGUGCCGCACAGGCAUAAGCAUACCAAGAAGAUUAACACUGUCUUGAGGUUAGGGUUGACAGAUUUGCUGGAAGAUUUGGAUGCCGAGGACGAUGAAACUAUCGUGGUAACUUUGAUUCCAAGGUAUGGGGCUGAGCAUGUCAAGAUUGGUGGCAUCAAGAUUGAGUUUGCUGAUUAAAUCAGUGUUGUGCUUCUCCAAUUUGGUGAUUACUUCUUGGCUUUCGAAUAAUCAAAUGUACGUUUAUAAAUAAUCAUGACUGUGUGGCAUGCAGUUUCGUGCAUUUUCUCCAAUGGAAAAACUAUAUAUAUACCUUCUUUGUUUAGCAAUGUAUGAUGAAGUUAAUCAUUAAUUUUUUCAGGUUGUUUGUCUUAGUUGCAACCUAACCGAUUAGAAAAGCAAGUGUACGUGAUCUUCCUUAAUUUGUGCGAUCGAUUUUGGUAGAAGCACGUAUACACUAAAUCAUUGGAGCUAGUUAAUCCUUCUAUGAGGGUGCAAUUGUGUUUUUCUUACUAUUCAAAAAUAACUAGUCUUUAUGGGAAAAUUCUGCUAUACCGUUUGCUAAUAUUUCAUGACAAAAUCUCUUCAACUAACCACCACCCUGGCUAAACAGGGCCUCCAUUUAGUCAGAGAUGUAUGCUAUACUGAACGGUAUAGCAGACAAAUCCCUCUUUAUAGGGAUAUGAUGAAACUUGAACAAUCUUAGUUAUAUCCUUAUUAUAUACAAGAAAAUCUUAGUUAUUUAUGUAACCAUGGUUUGAACACCUUCUAAAAGCUACCCAAGAUGCCAUUGCCCUCUAACUAAUUCAAAUGGAGUUGACGAAAAUGUUUAAAGUUAUCGAAUGGAGUUGACUAAUAUUCAGAUGUGCAAUUGCUAUUGAAAUAUAUAUUUUCAAACCAAAUUGCUAUCGAUCUGUCCCAAUUUCAGGCAAUACAUAUUGCUCAAAUCGUGGAUCAACGUGGACUAUUAGUAUUAUGUACUUGGUCUAGUCAUUAACUGCUACAUAUAUAAAGAAAAAAACUAAGAUAUAAGUAGAAAAUUAGAAACCAAUAACUGUGAUCGAUCAUUUCUAUUAUAUAUACCAGAACGUUGGAAAUACAGGACAUACCUUAUAAUAGCGUGCUCUCAAUGACUCUUAAAUCCUGUUGCCGGAAACAUUUUAAAAUCUUGAAUACCCAGCUAGCUUCCUGCAUAAUGGUCACCUUACCGAUCGAUAUAUACACACACAAUUCUUACCUGUACUGCUGCUGUACAUGUUCAAGAAAGAGCUAGCUAGAUCGAUGGAGAAGUACUAUUGCUGCGCGCAUAUAUUUUUACAACUUAGAUAUCCUUAUAUACAGGUUUUUGUUCUAUGCCAAUCUCAAUUUUGCGCCAUUGAAGUACAAUUACUAUUCUCGAUCUAAACUUCUAAAGCACGUACUGCUAGUACAAUGCACGUACUGCUGGUAGUCUAGUACAAUGCAGUACGUACUGGCGCGCACUG